GCAGGAAGAGCUCAGUGGGAGAGCGCAUGCUUGGCAUGCGUGAAGUCCUAGGUUCAACCCCCAGCACCUGCA
RNAcentral lists this transfer RNA (72 nucleotides) under Camelus bactrianus (Bactrian camel). It matches the Rfam family "tRNA". From Rfam's summary of the family: Transfer RNA (tRNA) molecules are approximately 80 nucleotides in length. Their secondary structure includes four short double-helical elements and three loops (D, anti-codon, and T loops). Further hydrogen bonds mediate the characteristic L-shaped molecular structure. tRNAs have two regions of fundamental functional importance: the anti-codon, which is responsible for specific mRNA codon recognition, and the 3' end, to which the tRNAs corresponding amino acid is attached (by aminoacyl-tRNA synthetases). tRNAs cope with the degeneracy of the genetic code in two manners: having more than one tRNA (with a specific anti-codon) for a particular amino acid; and 'wobble' base-pairing, i.e. permitting non-standard base-pairing at the 3rd anti-codon position. RNAcentral also lists the same sequence under 2 other names. Lineage: Eukaryota; Metazoa; Chordata; Mammalia; Artiodactyla; Camelidae. The record is from Rfam by way of RNAcentral.